CGUUGCGAUCAUACCAGCACUAAUGCAACCGGGAUCCCAUCAGAACUCCGCAUUCAAGCGUGCUUGGGCGAGAGUAGUACUAGGAUGGGUGACCCCCUGGGAAGUCCUCGUGUUGCAACCC
Molecule: ribosomal RNA, 121 nt
Filed under: Helianthus annuus (common sunflower)
Lineage: Eukaryota; Viridiplantae; Streptophyta; Magnoliopsida; Asterales; Asteraceae
Source: RNAcentral